Long non-coding RNA from Numida meleagris (helmeted guineafowl), 1109 nucleotides. RefSeq lists it as uncharacterized. The record is from RefSeq and is a predicted model, not a curated record. Lineage: Eukaryota; Metazoa; Chordata; Aves; Galliformes; Numididae. The transcript is spliced from 5 exons.
UCCAAUGUAUCCCAUUUUUGCAUCUCUUCUUAGAUUUUCCUUCAGAGCUUAUCUUUUCUCUUACCAGUAGCCAGUUACUUUAACCAAAUGUUUUAGCAUGCUAAAGAAUAAUUUGAAUACUCUUUUCCUUUCAGGUUUUGGGAGGUUUUUUUUCUUUCUUUCAAAAGAUGCUAGAUAGAUUGGCCAUGGGAUGACUUAUAGAGAGUAUGAUGCAAGCACAUUGAUAUCAUCUGAUGCCUGUGAAAACAGAUAUUUUCUCCCAAGUCUCAUGCUAGAGAUACAAGAUCAAAGGUGAAAGAGAGAACAGCAGAGAGACCAUCCACAGAGGGAGAUGGGCAAUUGUGAAAAGAGGUCGAGAACAGAAUAGGAAAGAAGGAACAGCAGAGCUGGAGGCCAGCGGAAGGACAGAGGCCCAUUGGUGAGAGCUCAAGAGCAAAUGAGAGCUAUAUCCACAGAGCUGAGACCCAAAGCAGAGGGAUGCAGGCACUCCAUCUCCUCUGGAGCAGCUGCGUUGCGCACCUGCCUGUGGGUCUUCACCAUGCUCCUACACGGCUGUGAUGUGCUUUGUCAGAGGUGGCUGCUGAAAUGUUUGCAACCAGGCAGAAACAGCAAAAGCCUGUGUUUGGAAACCUGAGGACUACAGAUUGUUUCCGUGGACUUAUUGGGAUUAUAAUGAAUUAAAACACAAUAAAACAUAACCUGAUUAAGGUUAUUAAGAGGUUAUAUCAUCCUUAAGCCAUACAAAGGCUCAUGAAUAAAGGAGUGGCUGUCAGCUGAGAGGUCUACAGUAUGAUAAAAAACAUGAAAAAACCAAAAAUACUUUCCCACCUGGAAGGCAAUUUUCAGGAGGCCACAACUCCAUGAACCUGAAACUUUGACUGCUGACAAGAAGUUGCUUGAAGCAGAAGUGUUGCAAAGAAGCCGCCUUCCCCACAGCAUCGCUGCCCUGGCUGCUGUCCCCAUCUGCUCGGUGGUGCUGUGGGGCAGGCAUGCCAGCAGGCUCCGAGCAGCAGGUCCCGCGUGCUGCUGAGUUUCUCAUCAAACACCCUGUGCUGCAUGGAUGCCUUCCUCCAGGUACCACGCGCUACAGACAGCCCUGGCUGUGAGUC